UGCGGGGCUGGGGGCUGGGGAUCCCCGGGCUGGGCUGAAGGACUGGGGAUCCAUGCCCCUGGGGACUGAGCGUGACAGCAGACAGACGUACAGCACGUCCUUGAGGAAAAUGAGGCAUUUCUGCAGCUAGAGUCCCUCAAGAGGUGCAGUGUGAGAGAGGAGUAUGGUGACAGCGGUGUCCUGCAGGCAGCUCCAGGAACGCGCUCACACAGUGGCAGCAGGCGGCCUGAGCCCUGCUCCAUCAGCCACAGGUUGCUGCUCUGGGGGCACAGAGACCCAGUCACAGCAUCACUGAGUUCAGAGAGUCCACCAAGGAGUUGCUGGCUGGCCCUGUGCCACAGGAAUGUGGUAUGAGGGUAUUUCAUGAGGACGCCGAUGUUGUCACGUCGUGACAUGGCAUGCUGACAUGUCAGAUAGUGCCUCUUCCUCUUUGGAAGCAGGAUCUGCACCUUUGACUGCCACAGCAGAGACUCAGGAGUGCUGGACUGGGAAGGAUUGCUGCAUCACGGUUCAAAGCUCAGUCACACCUUGUAGUCUCCUUCAGGAAACCCAGAGACUCUGCUUUGAACCUGGUUCAUUUUUUUUCGUCUCAUUGCUCAUAUCAGAAGACUGCUCUGCAAUGUUGCUGCUCUGAUGUUUGGAAAUGUUCUGAUUUUCACCCUAAGUUUACUCACGGCCAGAUUGUAUUCACUGCACUUGUGCCUAGGCUGUCUGCUAGCUCUUUUCCUUCUUGUAUUUAAGCCGAUGUUAUCUGCCUUUGCUUACCAAUUUGCCUGCUGGCUGGAAUUAUGCACAGAAGAGAAGUUUCCCAUGCCCUACGUGAGGUUGUUUUAACCUCUCUAAAGGAGCUAAAUAAUUAUUCUUCAUCUAAGGGUGACUGAAUGCAGGCUUUAUAGUAUGACAGCAUCAUUUAUUCACAAGGGGGUAUUUGCACCCUCAGUGUAAAGAAUGCUUUGAAACUGUUUAUUUAUUUAUUUAUUUUUAUUUUUAAAUGAAGAUCCAUUAACAGUGUUUAUAACAUUUCUCAUGCUCUGCUCUUGUUUUUGUAAGGCCCUGCGCAACAAGGAGGGAGCAGGUGAGCUCAAAGACUGCAAGGUGAAACUGCUUGGAAGGAACAGAAAUGAAUGACUGUUCAGAUUGCAGUGGAAUCCCUGCAUGCGUAGUGGUGCCAGGUACAGGAAUCUGAGAGGGUGAGGGAAGGGGAGGCAGGUUUUUUUAAGGCUGACAUUGUUUCAAUUUUAGCUAUUUUGGGUGUGAGCAAAACUUCAUCCAGCAAACAGUGCGGGCUUAGCAAAGCAUCAUUUUCAACUGUGGUGCGAAAAGCUGAGAUCAGUCUUCUGUAAGACUGAAAUCCCAGUUCUCCUCAAUUAAAUUAUCGUUUUAAGGGUGCUUAAAAAAGCAGUCUUCUUCCUUCCUGCCAUCCCUUCCACCCACUCGUGCUGUUCUGGGCAUGCUGUGCAGUACAAAUGCUUCUGCUGUCACCGUACAACAGGUUGGAGAGCUGAUCUAAGUGAGGAAUACUUUUUAAAUAUUCUUGUCCUCCUGCCCUCCUGCCCUCCUCCUCCUGAUCAGCUCUCUGCUGAGUUCGUGCCCCACACAUCUCUGUGUAGGCACAGGGCAGGGGCUUCUUAAGCACAUGGAUCACCUCCUUGGUGAGUGCUCAUCAGAUUGCUCUGCCAACACUGGCAGCACUUUGUUGGUUUAAAGCUGGACUUAGCAAUGGCUGUGCCACAGCUUUUGGACAAAGAAUGGAAAGAUGAAGCUGUAAAGGUACGUGAUGUUGCGCAGAGCAUGCGAGCUGCAGACAAAAGUAGGCUGAAAACUUGGGUGUCUGUGAGAAGAGCGACAAGAGGCGUUCAGAGGGACCAAAGGAAGGCACUGAGAGAGUGAGAAAGCUCUUCUUCUCAUGCAAGCUCCCUUAGCCCUGGUACUGACUGCCAGAGUGCUGUCGGGUGGCACUGGGAUGUCAGAAGGAUGGGCAGUAGCACUGGUGAUGAAAAUUAAUCAGGAAUUUUGGAAAGGCUGCAAGCCUUCUUUGUCCAGCAAGUAGCUGAGCUCAUGGUUAUGGGGGGUCAGGAGACCCACCUGUAAACGGUGUGAUUUCAGAGGGUUUGCCCGUGUUGGUGCUCAAACUGGUACGUGAGAAGCUCCCUCUGCUGAGAAACCAAAGCACAUUUCAGUGCCUUGAACAAACAGUGUGGAAGGACACAGGCUGCAGCAUGGCUUUGUGUGGCACCUGGGGGUUGGCAAGUGUUUGUCCUGAUGCUGAGGAAUUACAUCCUGUGACUGAAGAGAGGUGUUACAUUGCAGCUUUAGAGGUUUAAGGAAAAAAUACGGGAGGGUUGGGGUUGGGGUUGGGACCCCAGUGAUCACCUUUGGACGAAGGAGAUGUGGGGUGUGAGAUAAAGUCUGGAGUAUCUGUGGGAUGGGGCCCAGCAUUCAGAGCCUGUUUGCUGUGUUGGGAAGCAAGGUCAGCACAUUCUGCCAAAAAAACGUGCCGAGAGCUGUGGUGUAUUCACUAAACCCAGCUUUACAACCACUGGGCUUUAUAAAAAGAAUCACUUGUCAAAACAGAGCAGGGCUGGGAGAGGAAGGCAGCCCUGCAUUCAUUGUCACAGGGCCGGUGUCCUCAGCAGCCUCUGCAGUGUGGCUGUGGUGGAGGAGCUGGGUGCUGGAGCAGCUGGGGGCCAGCACUGGGCUUACAGGCUGGGGUAGGGCUGGCUGUGUAGGAGAGGCAGCAGCUGGGCAGUGCUGAUGAGCCUUCAUGGCCCAACACAGCCACUGUGCUGGGGCAGCAGGCAGAAAAGUGACUGUGCUAUCAGAGAGCCACAAAGGCUGGAGAAGAUCCCCAAGCCCAACCCAUCCCAACAUACCCACUGACCACAUCCCUCGGUGCCACAUCCCACAGCUCUGGAGCACCUCCAGGGAUGGAGAGUCCAGCUGUGAGUCCUGUGCAGCUGUGCCACUGCAUCACUGCUCUUUUGGAGAGGAAUGUUUUCCUGCUAUCCAACCUGAACUUUCAGGUGAUGGUGGUCCCCGUCUCCUUCCAUCAGUGAGAUCCAGGAGAUGCUGACUGUGCUGGGAAUCAGAAAGGAGCUGCAGUCCCUGAGAGGCCCCCCAUGCAAUAAAUAGUUUGGAGUUGUGAUGUAACACACACGUGUGGCCUGUGGCCUCCAGGAUGCCCAGGGUGAACUGCUGCAAAGGCAGCUGGGGAACACACACAACCCAUUUGGGGCUGAUGUGAUGCUGAGGGCUUGCUGAUGUUCCCAGAAGCAAAUACAGGAGGAUGUCUUAUUCUGCAGGCCAAAUUUUUCUCCUGUUUUCAGCUCCCAGCAAGUCUGCAUGUGUGUUUGGCCUCCUGGUACCAGAUGUACUCACAGCCCCUUUCCCUCCAAAUAAAGCUCAGACUUUUGCUGCCUUGGCCGUCGCCAUCCUGCUGUCACUCA
Tympanuchus pallidicinctus (lesser prairie-chicken) is the source of this 3446-nucleotide long non-coding RNA. RefSeq lists it as uncharacterized. The record is from RefSeq and is a predicted model, not a curated record. The transcript is spliced from 2 exons. NCBI's taxonomy places the organism in Eukaryota, Metazoa, Chordata, Aves, Galliformes, Phasianidae.